Molecule: ribosomal RNA, 443 nt
Filed under: uncultured bacterium
Lineage: Bacteria
Description: partial 16S ribosomal RNA
Rfam family: Bacterial small subunit ribosomal RNA
Source: RNAcentral
CCUACGGUGGGCAGCAGUGGGGAAUAUUGGACAAUGGGGGGAACCCUGAUCCAGCGACGCCGCGUGAGUGAAGAAGUAUUUCGGUAUGUAAAGCUCUAUCAGCAGGGAAGAAAGAAUUAACGGUACCUGACUAGGAACCCCCGGCUAACUACGUGCCAGCAGCCGCGUUAAUACGUAGGGGGCAAGCGUUAUCCGGAUGUACUGGGUGUAAAGGGAGCGUAGACGGCGAUGCAAGACUGAAGUGAAAGGCGGGGGCCCAACCCCUGGACUGCUUUGGAAACUGUAUGGCUGGAGUGCAGGAGAGGUAAGUGGAAUUCCUAGUGUAGCGGUGAAAUGCGUAGAUAUUAGGAGGAACACCAGUGGCGAAGGCGGCUUACUGGACUGUAACUGACGUUGAGGCUCGAAAGCGUGGGGAGCAAACAGGAUUAGAUACCCGAGUAGUC